AUGAAGCCGCAUAUGACGAACCGAGAGCUCCAAGGCGGCGCCUCCAAGAAGGUUACGACGCUAGCGCGCCGCCACCGCCUGACCCGGGGGUCAGAGUUUCCUCUGGAGCAACAAGAUGACCGACGAGUGGAAAGGUCGCUCCUUUACACACCCCUGGACGGCCCCCGGCGCCGAGACCCAAAGGACCGGCCCAAAAAAAGGCCUCCAUCACCCGUCCUGCUGCACCGGGUGCUAGACAAGCUCAGUCCUGCUGCCAGGCGCGAGACGAGGUCGGUCCUGCUGCCUGACGCGAGACAAGCACGGUCCUGCUGCCGGGCGCGAGACGAGCUCGGUCCUGCUGCCGGGCGCGAGACGAGCUCUGUCUCGCAGCCAUGGGCGCGAGACGAGCAAUGGACCGCAACUGGGAGCGAUGAAUCAUCCCAGUUGAACGGUGAGCUGAGUGCCAGAGAGAGGAGGGCUGUGGUGAGGCAGGAGCGGCAACAACAGUGCGGCCAUCCUCCUGACGAGUGGCUGAACGGAACUCGGGAGCAUUUCCUUUGUUUUGCUGUGCUGCAUGGAUGCUCCGGUGUAACUGUUAAUGCCUCCUUUGCUUUGGGUCAUUGUUGUCACUUGGAUGCGGAUAUUAGAGGACAACUGAUAUGCUACUCCACGCUCGCAUGUGAGAUCCACAAAGUUAUAAAUAUGUUUGAUGUGCCCAGUCAUGGUAGAACCUUGAAUCCACAUACUGGUUCUUAUGCAACAGGGCAUCCCAUGAGGUACGAUCCAAAUACUGGUGAUGUAGCGGUGCUCCAAACACAUCUGGCGUACGCAAACGGCAUCGCUAUCAGCACCCCUAAUGCAUCUCAUUGCCACAUCUACGGGGCCGUGCAAGCGGUAGUGCAAGUCCGCAAGCUGCUAAGGCACUGGAUCAAAGGGUACAAGGCGGAGACGUUCGAGCCGUUUGUGGAUCUCCCUGGCUAG
This 960-nucleotide ribosomal RNA is filed under the name Triticum aestivum (bread wheat). RNAcentral's name for it is "partial small subunit ribosomal RNA". Lineage: Eukaryota; Viridiplantae; Streptophyta; Magnoliopsida; Poales; Poaceae. The record is from RNAcentral.